This 470-nucleotide ribosomal RNA is filed under the name uncultured bacterium. RNAcentral describes it as "bacterial SSU rRNA". It matches the Rfam family "Bacterial small subunit ribosomal RNA", at positions 328 to 797 of the family's 1533-position model. The record is from RNAcentral.
GAACCAGACUCCUACGGGAGGCAGCAGUGAGGAAUAUUGGUCAAUGGUCGGGAGACUGAACCAGCCAAGUCGCGUGAGGGAAGACUGCCCUAUGGGUUGUAAACCUCUUUUGUCAGGGAGCAACGCCGGCUACGUGUAGCCGGACUGAGAGUACCUGAAGAAAAAGCAUCGGCUAACUCCGUGCCAGCAGCCGCGGUAAUACGGAGGAUGCGAGCGUUAUCCGGAUUUAUUGGGUUUAAAGGGUGCGUAGGGGGAAGGCCAAGUCAGGGGUAAAAUCGCGGGGCUCAACCUCGCUCCGCCGUUGAAACUGGCGUUCUUGAGUGGGCGAGAAGGAUGCGGAAUGCGUGGUGUAGCGGUGAAAUGCAUAGAUAUCACGCAGAACUCCGAUUGCGGAGGCAGCAUACCGGCGCCCAACUGACGCUGAAGCACGAAAGCGUGGGGAUCGAACAGGAUUAGAUACCCGAGUAUCA